Molecule: long non-coding RNA, 447 nt
Filed under: Pelobates cultripes (western spadefoot toad)
Lineage: Eukaryota; Metazoa; Chordata; Amphibia; Anura; Pelobatidae
Source: RNAcentral
CUCUGACAGACGCACAUUCUGAUACACACUGCCAGACACGCUGUCAGACAGAUACACACUGCCAGAUACACUCAUACAGAAACACACAGAUACGCUCCUGAUGGCAGCCCUGGAAAUGCCUAGUAAAGGUGUGAAAGUGAGAAAGUGAUGCCUAUUGGUGAGGUCUAUGGUGAUGAGAGAAUGCAGGGGUAAUGUGUAUUACCCCUUCCCUCUCUUGCCAUCAUUAGGCAUCACCACCCCCCUCUUACAUCACUACUGGUCAUUACCAACUUCUUCUCCCACCACCAUUAAAGGGUCAGUCUAAGCACCAUCACAACUUUGCUUCACUGCAGUGUUAAUGGUGAAUAGAUUACCCUGAACUUUCUCUAAGCACUUUGAGUAACUUGGAACUGCAGAGAUUUGUAAAAAUCACACAGUUAUAAGCCAGCUCCUCAGAGCUGACAAUCG